This 263-nucleotide ribosomal RNA is filed under the name uncultured bacterium. RNAcentral describes it as "partial 16S ribosomal RNA". It matches the Rfam family "Bacterial small subunit ribosomal RNA", at positions 29 to 289 of the family's 1533-position model. The record is from RNAcentral.
AUUAACGCUAGCGGCAGGCAUAAUACAUGCAAGUUGAACGGCAGCACAGGUAGCAAUACCGGGUGGCGAGUGGCGCACGGGUGCGUAACACGUAUGCAACCUACCCUAUACAGGCGAAUAACCUUUAGAAAUGAGGGCUAAUACGCCGUGGUAUUAUCUUGGGGCAUCUUGAGAUAAUUAAAGAUUUAUCGGUAUAGGAUGGGCAUGCGUCCCAUUAGUUAGUUGGUAGAGUAACGGCCUACCAAGGCUAUGAUGGGUAGGGG